CUCUAGAUCAAAGACCCUGCCAGAGAGAACUUCCCCUAGAUUCUCAGAGAGGACAAGGAAGCUCAAGCUUGGAUUAUUCUCUCCCUGCUCCUAACUGCAAUACAGUGACAAGUCAAGACAUCAUCCUACAAUGUCACUGGUCCUCCUUGAAAAUGAAGGCCUAACAACAAGCCUGGUUGUCUGCACGGAGGCUCGUGAAAGGAAGUUUACAGAACAAUUAAACAAGGUAGACAGAGGUGAAGUGACUCGCCAUCACUACUGAAGUGUCUGAAGAUUACAGAGCUGGGAUGAAGAGGGACAACUUGCUGGAGAAGACGGGAGAGAACAGGGUCAUGUGUCUGUGGGGGAGUUCAACCUGGCAAGGCCAUGGGCAUGUCCAAAUGUCUUCUAAUCCUCUCUGAACGGGAUAUGAGUUAGCUUUCUUAAAAUUUAUCAGACACGUUAUAAAUAUUUAAAUAUUUGGAAUCUUUCUGAACUUCAAUUCUCUCUCAAAGUAAACAUAUCACAAUGGAAUGGGGGGGGGAUCUCAUAAUCAAAAACAGUUUCUCAAUGCCAAUAAAGAGACCAAAUGUAUUCGAUAUUCUAUGCUAAUCCUGCAUACUGAUAACAAGCAAAAGCAAAGCAACUGAAAAGACUCCAAGUGCCC
Phascolarctos cinereus (koala) is the source of this 646-nucleotide long non-coding RNA. RefSeq lists it as uncharacterized. The record is from RefSeq and is a predicted model, not a curated record. Lineage: Eukaryota; Metazoa; Chordata; Mammalia; Diprotodontia; Phascolarctidae.